AUAUCAAUUAAGCGGAGGAAAAGAAACUAACAAGGAUUCCCCUAGUAACUGCGAGUGAAGCGGGAAAAGCUCAAAUUUAAAAUCUGGCGGUCUCCGGCCGUCCGAGUUGUAAUCUAGAGAAGUGUUAUCCGCGCUGGACCGUGUACAAGUCUCCUGGAAUGGAGCAUCAUAGAGGGUGAGAAUCCCGUCUUUGACACGGACUACCAGGGCUUUGUGAUGCGCUCUCAAAGAGUCGAGUUGUUUGGGAUUGCAGCUCAAAAUGGGUGGUAAAUUCCAUCUAAAGCUAAAUAUUGGCGAGAGACCGAUAGCGAACAAGUACCGUGAGGGAAAGAUGAAAAGAACUUUGGAAAGAGAGUUAAACAGUACGUGAAAUUGCUGAAAGGGAAACGCUUGAAGUCAGUCGCGUUGGCCGGGGAUCAACCUUGCUUUUGCUGGGCGUACUUUCCGGUCGACGGGUCAGCAUCAAUUUUGAUCGUUGGAUAAAGUCCAGGGGAAUGUGGCAUCUUCGGAUGUGUUAUAGCCCUUGGUCGCAUACAACGGUUGGGAUUGAGGAACUCAGCAYGCCGCAAGGCCGGGUACUUGUACCACGUUCGUGCUUAGGAUGCUGGCAUAAUGGCUUUAAUCGACCCGUCUUGAAACACGGACCAAGGAGUCUAACAUGCCUGCGAGUGUUUGGGUGGAAAACUCGGACGCGUAAUGAAAGUGAAAGUUGAGAUCCCUGUCGUGGGGAGCAUCGACGCCCGGACCAGACCUUUUGUGACGGAUCCGCGGUAGAGCAUGUAUGUUGGGACCCGAAAGAUGGUGAACUAUGCCUGAAUAGGGUGAAGCCAGAGGAAACUCUGGUGGAGGCUCGUAGCGAUUCUGACGUGCAAAUCGAUCGUCAAAUUUGGGUAUAGGGGCGAAAGACUAAUCGAACCAUCUAGUAGCUGGUUCCUGC
This 937-nucleotide ribosomal RNA is filed under the name Hebeloma aminophilum. RNAcentral's name for it is "LSU rRNA". It matches the Rfam family "Eukaryotic large subunit ribosomal RNA", at positions 40 to 961 of the family's 3401-position model. Lineage: Eukaryota; Fungi; Basidiomycota; Agaricomycetes; Agaricales; Hymenogastraceae. The record is from RNAcentral.